AACUAAAGGAACUGAGAAUAGGUGGAGAAAAUCGAAAUGUCAAAAGGAAAAUGAUGUAUUCUCUGUUUGGUCGCUGCAUUUCACAGAAAAUGGCACGAUUUUGUUUUCAGCCUCUCCUAUUAUUUCUCUUAAUAGUCGUAUCAGAAUGCAGAGCUGCCUCACCAGGUACUGAGACUGUGUCUGGGCAUCAGGAAGGUGACAUAGUUCUCUCAUGUUUAAAUCCAAACGUGAUGGAUCCAAAGAGCACCUACAGAGUCCAGUGGAAAAAGUAUGUCACAAACACCAGCCGGAUGGAGGUCAUUUUUAUGUGGCCGCAGAAACGCCAAAAUGCAAAACGUAUGAAAUGGGAAGCUGAUGGAGGUGGAAAAGGGGGACUUUAUCUGUCAAAGCUACAAAAAUCAGACGAAGGACUGUACAGUUGUGAGAUCUGGCAGGGAUGGGGCAUCGUUCUGAGCAAAAACAUAUCUUUAAAAGUGAAAGACUGUAAAGCCCUUCCACCGGUGACCGCAGCACCCGGCACAUCUGUUCGGCUCAACUGCCCAUUGAACGUCACAUCAGGGCGGCAAAAUGUCUCCUGGAUGAUGCUGAAAGGAAACAAACAUGUUUCUGUCAACUCUAAAAGGUUUCAAGUCAACGGCACGUCCCUGGUUAGCCAGUCUGUGACCACUAGCGACAGCGGCUGGUACAGAUGCAGUCACAUGCUGGGGCAAACUCAGCGCUGCUUGGUCACCAAUCUGCUGGUCCAAGAAGUGAGAACUGUUUUUGUGGCUACAACAGUUCCGCUUAUUAUAACAACAGCUCAGGAAGUGACAGUCAGAGGUGUUGCAUCGACAAACAGGACUGAGAAGAGCAGUGGAGCUUUGAUUGCACUCGUGGCAUCGGUUGUUUUGGGGAUCAUCAUAAUUGCAUCGCUGAUUGGAUUAUUCAUGUACCGCAGAUCUAAGAACCAGAGUAUCACGUAUCGAGAUCACACUGCAGACUCUGUGAGUGCCUACGAGUGUGUGGAUUUCUCAGGUUCACAAGAACCUGCAAGCAUGCAACCCAACAGUUUAUACCAACGUCAGGAUGAAAGCAUGUUCACUUUCCAUUAUUAGUCAUUUCCAGACCGCCGAAGAAAAAGAAGAUGCAUUUCUUCUAAUCCAGAACAUUCUUGCAUUAUAUAUAAAUCUGUAAUAUGCAGCCUCUUGCUUCUUAUCUUGUUUGGAUCAAAAUAUCUAAUCACCUGUAUCAUUCCAGUUAAAUGGAGACGUGCUUACGAUGUAAUCUUUCAAAAAAUAUAUAUACACUACCAUUCAAAAGUUUGGGGUUACCCAGACAAUUUCAAACUCACACUUUUACUCAUGUGCCAACAUAAUCGCACAAGGCUUUUCUAAUCAUCAAUUAGCCUUCAACACCAUUAGCUAACACAAUGUAGCAUUAGAACACAGGAGUGAUGGUUGCUGGAAAUGUUCCUCUGUACUCCUAUGGAGAUAUUCCAUUAAAAAUCAGCUGUUUCCAGCUAGAAUAGUUAUUUACCACAUUAACAAUGUCUACACUGUAUUUCUGAUUUAUUUAAUGUUAUCUUCAUUGAAAAAAAUGCUUUUCUUUCAAAAAAUAAGGUCAUUUGUAAGUGACCCUAAACUUUUUAACAGUAAUGUAUAUAUAAAUUAAAGGAAGAUCUUGAAUCCUUGACCUCUAGAGUGACGAGAUCCAGUGACUAUGUUAUACUGUGGAGGGCAUUUUUCUGGCAUGGUUGGGGUCCACUUGUACCCUUAGAAGAACGACGCAUUGCUAAUCAAUAAAAACAAUCACUUUCAUCCAAAGAUGGAACAAAUCAAUCCUGAUGUGAGCAAUCAAUGCCUGCAUCCAUGGGGCACGAAAGGUCAUAAAAUCAUAAUUAAGUCAUAAUAAUCGAUGUAAAAUGCCAUGUUUUGUCCACACCGCAAAGAUUUUCAGUUCACUGUCAUAGAGGAGUAAAGAAACCAGAAAAUAUUCUAAUUUAAAAAGCAUUUUUUAUUUAAAAAAAUGACUAAAAAUUAUAUAUCAAUUGACAAUUAAUUUAAUAGUUGAUAACUAAUUGAUUAUGCAUUGCAUCUGUAACCUAGAUCAUCCCUUUUAGAUGUCUUAAGCUAAGUCUGGAGGUAUUGUACCUAUCUUGAACUGGAAUUACGACAAGUCAAAAUGUGACAUUUAAUAAUUCAGGUCUUCCUAGUUAAAAGGACAUUUCAGACAGCCACGAUAAGAUUUCUCCAAGGGCAAAUUAUAUCACUUUUAUUAUUGUUGUGUAUGGAGUUUCUCAUCACAGAUAUCAAUAAUUUAUCUGCAGAUAUCUUCAAUUUAAACUGUGAUAUCUGCACUGUAAUGCAGAGUUCCAGAGGCUUCAAGUUCCAUUAAGUCUGCUUUAGCAACACAUGGUGGCCUGACACUUUACUAAGACACUUUUUGUUGGUUUUUCCUUUAAUUUUUCCAUUAAAUAUAAUGCAUAAUCACGACAAACAAGUCAUAAACCAUGAUUUCUGUUUCUGUCAGUUACAAGGAAGAAUCCUCUUUCAGAUGUUGGUGUUUAAAUGGUGUUUAUUUUU
This is a long non-coding RNA of Amphiprion ocellaris (clown anemonefish), 2561 nucleotides long. The record is from Ensembl. Lineage: Eukaryota; Metazoa; Chordata; Actinopteri; Pomacentridae.